RNAcentral lists this ribosomal RNA (497 nucleotides) under uncultured bacterium. RNAcentral's name for it is "partial 16S ribosomal RNA". It matches the Rfam family "Bacterial small subunit ribosomal RNA", at positions 28 to 507 of the family's 1533-position model. The record is from RNAcentral.
GAUGAACGCUGGCGGCGUGCCUAAUACAUGCAAGUCGAGCGAACAGACGAGGAGUUUGCUCCUCUGACGUUAGCGGCGGACGGGAGAGUAACACGUGGAUAACCUACCUAUACGACUGGGAUAACUUCGGGAAACCGGAGCUAAUACCGGAAAAUAUAUUGAACCGCAAGGUUCACUAGUGAAAGACGGUUUUGCUGUCACUUAUAGAUGGAUCCGCGCCGCAUUAGCUAGUUGGUAAGGUAACGGCUUACCAAGGCAACGAUGCGUAGCCGACCUGAGAGGGUGAUCGGCCACACUGGAACUGAGACACGGUCCAGACUCCUACGGGAGGCAGCAGUAGGGAAUCUUCCGCAAUGGACGAAAGCCUGACGGAGCAACGCCGCGUGAGUGAUGAAGGUCUUCGGAUCGUAAAACUCUGUUAUUAGGGAAGAACAAAUGUGUAAGUAACUAUGCACGUCUUGACGGUACCUAAUCAGAAAGCCACGGCUAACUACGUG